Molecule: non-coding RNA, 469 nt
Organism: Lupinus albus (white lupine)
Lineage: Eukaryota; Viridiplantae; Streptophyta; Magnoliopsida; Fabales; Fabaceae
Source: the annotation of a GenBank genome assembly
UUAGUUGCUUCAAUUGCAAGGUCAACAUCCAUUGAUCUCAAUCUAUCUUCAAUAUGAAGUGGUUAUCUUUUAUCAUCAAAAUAACAGAGUAUUGAUAAACCAUAAAAAAUAUAUAUAAACAAAGAUUGAGGCUUUCAAAAUUACGUGGUUGACCAAAUUCUCGACUAAUACCACCUGCUCGAGACAGUCCCCCACCUUCAUAUAUAAAAUCAAGUCUUCCACUAUGUUGUCUAAAUCUUUGUUUAUCUUCCCAUUCUCUUAUGUAACAACAAAAUUUCUUCUCUAGUGUGAUUCAUAGUUGUGUUUUCAUCAAUAAAUCAUCACUCACGGAUCUAGGACCCCAGGUCACAUGUGUUCAUCGUCGGAUUUGGGUUACCCAAAAUCCGACGGAUUCGGGAUGAUAUUGUUAAUUUUAACACCGCUCAAUUUGGGUUUGAAUUCGAGUUUUGGAUUUCGAGUUCGGGGUUAA